RNAcentral lists this ribosomal RNA (427 nucleotides) under uncultured bacterium. RNAcentral's name for it is "partial 16S ribosomal RNA". It matches the Rfam family "Bacterial small subunit ribosomal RNA", at positions 355 to 774 of the family's 1533-position model. The record is from RNAcentral.
UGGGGAAUAUUGCACAAUGGGCGCAAGCCUGAUGCAGCCAUGACGCGUGUAUGAAGAAGGCCUUCGGGUUGUAAAGUACUUUCAGCGGGGAGGCAGGCGAUAAGGUUAAUAACCUUGUCGAUUGACGUUACCCGCAGAAGAAGCACCGGCUAACUCCGUGCCAGCAGCCGCGGUAAUACGGAGGGUGCAAGCGUUAAUCGGAAUUACUGGGCGUAAAGCGCACGCAGGCGGUCUGUCAAGUCGGAUGUGAAAUCCCCGGGCUCAACCUGGGAACUGCAUUCGAAACUGGCAGGCUAGAGUCUUGUAGAGGGGGGUAGAAUUCCAGGUGUAGCGGUGAAAUGCGUAGAGAUCUGGAGGAAUACCGGUGGCGAAGGCGGCCCCCUGGACAAAGACUGACGCUCAGGUGCGAAAGCGUGGGGAGCAAACA